AUGCUUUUGUAGUUCAUAAGAGUGAUAAUUGGGUUAUCAUGUGACUGCAUGAGGUGUGCCACCCACAAACCUUGUUACAACAUCGGCACAUCACCCUUUUGACA
Small nucleolar RNA from Erinaceus europaeus (western European hedgehog), 104 nucleotides. NCBI's taxonomy places the organism in Eukaryota, Metazoa, Chordata, Mammalia, Eulipotyphla, Erinaceidae. The record is from Ensembl.